GACAGAGGUGCCGAGCGUUAGGCGGAAUCACUGGGCUUAAAGCGUGUGUAGGCGGAUUUCUAAGUACCUUGUGAAAUCCCACGGCUCAACCGUGGAACUGCUGGGCAUACUGCGGGUCUUGGGCCAACUAGGGGCAGCCGGAACAAGCGGUGGAGCGGUGAAAUGCGUAGAUAUCGCUUGGAACGCCGAAGGUGAAAACAGGCUGCUGGGGUUGCGCCGACGCUGAGACACGAAAGCCAGGGGAGCAAACGGG
RNAcentral lists this ribosomal RNA (253 nucleotides) under uncultured bacterium. Its description in RNAcentral is "partial 16S ribosomal RNA". It matches the Rfam family "Bacterial small subunit ribosomal RNA", at positions 524 to 776 of the family's 1533-position model. The record is from RNAcentral.